CCCUUAGAUGUCCUGGGCUGCACGCGCGCUACACUGAUGUGUCCAGUAAGCACCUAACCUCUUCCGAAAGGAACGGGUAACCUUUGCAAAGCACAUCGUGAUGGGGAUAGAUUAUUGCAAUUAUUAGUCUUGAACGAGGAAUUCCUAGUAAGCACAAGUCAUCAGCUUGUGUUGAUUACGUCCCUGCCCUUUGUACACACCGCCCGUCGCUCCUACCGAUUGAAUGUUCCGGUGAGCUCUUCGGACUGCGCGGUCUGCAGUUUCUGCGUUCCGUGCGGAAAGUGGCGCAAACCUUAACAUUUAGAGGAAGGAGAAGUCGUAACA
Molecule: ribosomal RNA, 324 nt
Filed under: uncultured eukaryote
Lineage: Eukaryota
Description: partial 18S ribosomal RNA
Rfam family: Eukaryotic small subunit ribosomal RNA
Source: RNAcentral